UUCUAUACUUAUUUCAGAUUCUCCGAGAAACCCCCGAGGGGAACUAUAAACAUGGCUGACACUGCGAAGGUUGUCGACCUUAUCAACAAUGCUCGACAGAUGGUCACAGAUGCUGUCGACAGGGUUAAAAUGCCGACUCCGAUGCGCCUGCGCGACCUUAUUCGUCAAAUCAGGGCUGCCCGAACUGCCGCAGAAGAGAGGGCUGUCAUAAAUAAGGAGUGUGCGUAUAUACGCCACGCUAUAAGAGAAGAGGACACAAUGUGGAGAUGUCGAAAUAUUGCUAAACUUCUCUACAUUCACAUGCUGGGAUACCCUGCUCACUUCGGUCAGAUGGAGUGUCUCAAGCUCUGCGCCAGUCAUAAGUUCACGGACAAGAGGAUAGGCUACCUGGGCGCUAUGCUGCUCUUGGACGAGAAGCAUGACGUAAAUAUUCUUCUCAUUCACUGCAUCAAGACAGAUUUGAACAGUAGCACACAAUUUGUUCAGGGUUUAGCUUUGUGUACUCUUGGUUCAAUAGCCUCCGGAGAUAUGGCUCGAGAUCUUGCUCCAGAAGUUGAGAAGUUGAUCAAAUCUUCAAAUGCAUACAUAAGGAAAAAGGCAGCUCUGUGUGCAUACAGAAUAAUCAAGAAGGUUCCAGAACUUAUGGAAAUGUUUAUUCCCGUCACAAGGUCACUUCUCUCUGAGAAGAAUCACGGAGUCCUGAUCACAGGGAUAGUUCUGAUCACGGAGCUAACUGAGAGAUCUCCGGAUACCCUAGAUCAUUUUAAACGUGUUGUCCCAAACCUUGUCAGAAUACUGAAGAACUUGAUAAUGUCUGGGUAUUCUCCUGAACAUGAUGUUUCCGGGAUAUCAGAUCCGUUUCUGCAAAUUAAGGUUCUGAAACUUCUGAGGAUACUGGGUAGGAAUGAUCCGAGUACAUCAGAAACUAUGAACGAUAUUUUAGCACAGGUUGCAACAAACACAGAGACGAGUAAAAACGUAGGAAAUGCUAUUCUAUACGAAACCGUUCUUUCAAUCAUGGAUAUUGAUUCAGAAUCAGGACUCAGAGUACUUGCGGUUAAUAUUCUCGGUCGAUUUCUUCUUAACAACGACAAAAACAUACGUUAUGUCGCCCUCAACACCCUUCUCAAGACCGUUGCUGUCGAUCACGCGGCUGUUCAGCGACAUCGAGCAACAAUCCUCGACUGUCUCAAGGACCCGGAUGUUACAAUAAAGAAGCGCGCGAUGGAACUCUGCUUUGCGCUCAUUAACUCCACGAAUAUCGAGCUGAUGAGCAAGGACCUGAUCCAGUUUCUUCACACAGCGGAUCCUGACUUCAAACAGUCCUGCUCUAGUAAUAUGAUGCUAGCGGCGGAUCAGUAUUCUCCGAACCGGCGGUGGCACAUUGAUACAAUCGUGAAGGUGUUGGAGGAGAGCGGGAAUAUGGUUCGUGAUGAUGUCGUCUUCAAUACAAUACAGAUUAUCAGCAGUAGUCCAGAACAGCAGAGGUACACCGUACACCUGGCCUGGAAAGCAUUGAUGGAAAUCAAACAUUGCAGUGAGUUCCAACCCUUGACACAGGUUGGGUGCUGGUGUAUCGGAGAGUACGGAAAUUAUUUGCUGGAGAGGUGUGAUGAGGUUGUAGGUGGAGGUGAGUCUGUAAGUGAAGGACGUGUUGUCUCCUGGUUCCAGGUUCUUCUCUCCUCCUCAUCCAUCUCCGUAGUAACUAAACAAUACGCUCUACUCUCCCUAGCUAAACUAUCCACCAGAUUCAAUUCAGUCAUUCAGGAAAUUCAAUCUACCAUCGAUAGUUUUGGAACCAAUAUAGACAUUGACCUUCAGCAGCGAGGAGUAGAAUUGGGUCAACUUUUCAGGAGUCAGUCAGGAUUAAGAUCAAAACUGCUUGAACCAAUGCCGCCGAUGGAAAAGGAAAAGGACAGAUUGGAAGAUUCACCGACAACUCCAAUGCCAAAGGUGAAUGGAGUAGGUCCCCAACAUAAUGGAGUUCAAGAGAAGAAUCCUCUACUUGAACUUCUCGACCUUGAUCUCUCAGCGCCUGUAGGUGGUCAGACUCUCCUAGGAGGAGGACUAGAUAUUGGUGGAGCUCCCUCUUCAAACUCAUUAGACGAUAUAUUAGGCCUUAAUCUGGUACCUUCAGUAACUGCCAUGCAGAACAGUAACUCCUUAAACCUCCUGGAUAGUUUAGGAGGUCCUGAUCUAACAUCCUUAGGACCAAGCAGUAUGCCCUUAGGUUUAGACGGCCUUCUUAACGGUGUGGAUACAUUGUCCCUCGCUACCCCGUCCUCUCAGGUUCUUCCAAUCACAGCUUAUGAGAAACAUGGUCUCCGGGUCCAGUUCACGUUUCCGGGUUCAGGUUCUCCGGGUGCAUCAUCGAUCUUACUGUAUGCACACAACCUUACUCCGCAACCUAUUCUCAACUUUGUUUUCCAGGCUGCUGUACCGAAAUCCAUGCAGCUGCAGUUGGAUCCUCCAUCAUCAUCUACAAUCCCGUCAGGAGGAUCAGUUACUCAACAGAUGGUUGUUAAUAAUCCUAGCAACGCAGUUCUCAGGAUGAAGCUAAAGAUUGCAUUCAGUGUUGGUGGAAUUCCAAUCUCCGACCUUGGAGAGGUCAACAGUUUUCCUAACUUUGCUUGAUCUGUCAGAGACAAUAGUUUUGACAGGAUUCUUUUCUCCGGGCUGUAAAUGAACCCGGGGCUGAAGGGACAGAACUGCAGCUAGAAAUACACUGGAGAAUUCUCUGUGAUGAAUACAGUCACGUGAUAGGAACCUGUAAAGACGCCUCUGAUCAGUGGAUCUUGGAAAGACACUUAAUUAAUAUUCUUGUUAUCCACGGUUUGAUAACCGUGAUGGAGAAGAGUUAACAAUGCUCUUUUAUUAAAUAUUUAAACAUCAUCUAACUCUGUGAUAGAUAUAACCCUGACACCAGGAACUAUCUGGACUGCAUAUCCGUUAUUCAGGGGAUGACUUGAAUUCUGGUCCAAUCUUCUGUUUGUAAAUCUUAAGGUCAUAAUAUGCGCGACCGUCAUACUUUAAAAUUUGUUCAGGGAAGUGGUUUUCCGCCAUAAAGGGGAAAUAAAACCUCUAAGCAGUCCAAUCCGGGAAUAUCAUAAGUGUAAUCCUAAAAAUUAAAACCCAAAUAUUUCCUGCUGAUUGUGAUUCAAAUUCUAAGUGGCUUGUUGUUAUCAAACUCGCUAUCGUAGAAUUAUUUCAGUUUACUAGAUCCGGGCGGAUCUGGUAAGGGGUAAAUGAAACAACCUUAAUGCCAUUCCUAGCUUUUUCCCUGCUCUUGAGUAAUGUUUUCUUAUAAGCUUGUCCAUCGUUAUGUAAGAAUCAUGGCGGAAAAACGGCAUAAAAACUAACAUUCCAAACUCAAAGCUCUUGCAAUAUUUUCGAGUUCUUUAUUUAAAACUUUUAUGGACCCCUGCCCCCCCCCCCCCCGUAUUAGCUGGAGCUCAUUGUAACUACCCACCAUAAUGUAUUGUACCAGUUUUCUAUUGCAUUUAAAUAUCCCAGUGUCUGAUUCCAGUUUUAUUAUGUUUAUCCAGUGUUUCCAAGCAUUUUUUUCAGCUCUUAAACAUUUAAUUUUGAAAUCUUGACUGCCAGUUUAGGGCAAUGAACAUAUCCUGUUUAGCCAGAGCUGAGUAAAUAUCUUUAAGAGGGUUUAGUUUGUAGAGAAAAAAGUAUAUUUUAUUCAAAAACUGUUUCCAAAAAAAACAUUGAGGGAUAUUUAUUUAAUUAUUUUACUAUUUGUAUUCUAGUGUAAACCUGGCAACGAAAUUAGUGCUCGCACUAUUUUAUAUAUUUUAUCUUAUUUUGCGCUGUGUACGUACUAGCGUCACAUAAAAACGAUGUAAUAAGUUUUAUUUUAUACAUAAAUGUUUAUGAAAUUUGCAAUUAAAGUUGAACUUCAAACAAA
This 3916-nucleotide unclassified non-coding RNA is filed under the name Eurytemora carolleeae. Its description in RNAcentral is "aP-1 complex subunit gamma-1". The record is from RNAcentral. Lineage: Eukaryota; Metazoa; Arthropoda; Copepoda; Calanoida; Temoridae.